UCAUUUAGAGGAAGUAAAAGUCGUAACAAGGUCUCCGUAGGUGAACCUGCGGAGGGAUCAUUACACAAAUAUGAAGGCGGGCUGGAACCUCUCGGGGUUACAGCCUUGCUGAAUUAUUCACCCUUGUCUUUUGCGUACUUCUUGUUUCCUUGGUGGGUUCGCCCACCACUAGGACAAACAUAAACCUUUUGUAAUUGCAAUCAGCGUCAGUAACAAAUUAAUAAUUACAACUUUCAACAACGGAUCUCUUGGUUCUGGCAUCGAUGAAGAACGCAGCGAAAUGCGAUAAGUAGUGUGAAUUGCAGAAUUCAGUGAAUCAUCGAAUCUUUGAACGCACAUUGCGCCCUUUGGUAUUCCAAAGGGCAUGCCUGUUCGAGCGUCAUUUGUACCCUCAAGCUUUGCUUGGUGUUGGGCGUCUUGUCUCUAGCUUUGCUGGAGACUCGCCUUAAAGUAAUUGGCAGCCGGCCUACUGGUUUCGGAGCGCAGCACAAGUCGCACUCUCUAUCAGCAAAGGUCUAGCAUCCAUUAAGCCUUUUUUUCAACUUUUGACCUCGGAUCAGGUAGGGAUACCCGCUGAACUUAAGCAUAUCAAUAAGCGGAGGA
RNAcentral lists this ribosomal RNA (603 nucleotides) under fungal sp. MG138M1L3. RNAcentral describes it as "eukaryotic LSU rRNA". The stretch from base 229 to 382 matches the Rfam family "5.8S ribosomal RNA". Lineage: Eukaryota; Fungi. The record is from RNAcentral. RNAcentral also lists the same sequence under 1 other name.